AAGGGAAAAUUUUUUCUCCCCGGUUUUAGUUCAGUGUUCUAUAAUAUCAUAGCAACCUGCCUGCUAUUUCGAAACUUUGUUGACAUUGUUGUGGCAAAAGUCGAGAGUUCGCUCGAAUAUUCCAGUGAGCCGUUUAUUUAGGUUCCUGCCAAAUUUCUGUUCAGGAAGUCACUUAUCCGAAUGUCGUGGUCGGAAAAGCAAGCAACAGUAAUAGUUACCGUUCCAAUUGCUGCUAAUGAAUCCGUGAGCCGUGUAUGCAGAUCAUGCAGAUAGAAACCACUGCCGCCUCUUUAAAAUUUUCCAAGGGACAAACUCCUCGACGGUGUGCUUACCUCCAACAAGAGUAAUUUGGUUCAGCGCCGUAGCCAGAGGGUGACUUCCAGGCUGCCCCCCUCGUGCCUGCAAGCAUCAUACGAAUGCGAAACCCUUGUCAUUCGUCGGCUCGAGAGUGUGCCCAAUACAUGAGCCAGCUGAAGUCCUUCCCGGCGAGCUCACCAGCAGAGACUUGGACCAGGAGUGUGGCUCUAGGUGCAAGAGCACCACGUGGAGGACAAGAACCCAACUAGGAGAAAUCGGCACGCAGCAAAGCUCAUAUCGAGACACCUACUGGGAAUCGGUCCAUCGCAACGCUACGGGCACGACGCCAAGGAAAACAUAACCGAGCACCGCCAGCGGAGUGGGACAUGCAUUUCAACCAGCGCAUUCGGUGUCAGGGGACAAGCUUGGGACUGGAAUGGAAGCCAAGGCCGUCGAGCGAACUCGGAACACGUCGAAGAACAGUUGCAAUUUGAAAGGUCACGCACGCAUACAUACGAAACUCAACCCAUCCUCAAGGUCAACCAGACCAGAAGUGGCCACCAGGACGAGGUUCUCGGGCUGCCACUGACGAGAUCAAAUCUAAAAAGAACGCCCCCACACGGAAUGGGGGUGUUUUGUAGGUAUACAGCUCGAUCCUCGUACAGGUUGGUCGAUCAGCGGUCGUUGUGAGGACUCAAAGCGACAUUGCGCUCCGCACGAACGCAAUUAGGACCGCGCGCGAGACGUGUGGCGUGGUAAAGCAGCGCGCUAGUGUGAGGCGGACGAACCACGCAUCAGGCAGGCGUGAAAGCGCAGUGUGCGAACGCGAGGCGGAUGGUGUGUGCGUCAUGGAGACGCAACGCGCGAACGCAGGAACGUGUGUGCGUCAAUUGGGCGUGGGAAAGCAGUGCGCUAGCGUGAGGCGAUCGGAGUACGCGUCGCGAUGGCGUGGAAAAGCAGUGCGCGAACGCUGGGCGAACGGUACGAGGGCGCAGGAACGCGGUACCCGAACGCAAGGCGGGUCGAGAGCGGGUGUGGUGUGAGCAUGACGUGGAUGUGCGGCAGGGUAGCAGAAGCGAGUGUGGUCUGGGUAGCGAAAGGAUGGGUUGGGAGAAAUGUGUUGUCCAUUAGAAUAAGGAAGCAGGGAUUAAAGUUUGGCAGGAGAAACUAUAAUACGUAAAUUACUCGAAUAAACCAUGGCAAUUGAGUUUACACGCACACAACCAUUUUGAGUAAUUUUGGCUUGCUAGUCGGGAGCGUCGGGGAUUUCGCUCGGCUGAAGGGAUCCUCCUCAACACUGACGCAAUUUUGUGCUCCCCCUUUCCCCCAACCGAAAUCCUAGCUCCACUCCAAGCCCGGUUCAUCAGGCACCAAGUAGUGUCCCACUGCGAUCGAAGCCCAAGAAGUAUAUAAUUACUGACUGCAGGCACGCGGAAACACGUCACCAACCUUAAACGCUAGCAAGAAGUGCGGUUUACGGAAAUGGAACGAACCAGAGUGUUAAAAAAGGAUCUGUACAUUUAACACUAACGAACAACAAGUCGCCCUUCAAUAACAGUACUCUGCGGCAGUCUUUGUCG
Molecule: long non-coding RNA, 1877 nt
Organism: Culex pipiens pallens (northern house mosquito)
Lineage: Eukaryota; Metazoa; Arthropoda; Insecta; Diptera; Culicidae
Exons: 3
Source: RefSeq, a predicted model, not a curated record